RNAcentral lists this long non-coding RNA (7267 nucleotides) under Lactuca sativa (garden lettuce). Its description in RNAcentral is "long non-coding RNA (LSAT_LNC008608)". The record is from RNAcentral. Lineage: Eukaryota; Viridiplantae; Streptophyta; Magnoliopsida; Asterales; Asteraceae.
UAACACUCCUAAGUGUACAUGCAACCCUAAAUACCUUGGAUCUAUGUUUUCUCUAUUAUACAUGCAAAUAUCAACUUUUCCAAGGUAUUGUUCUAUUCUAGCAUACAAAACUUUGAAUAACACAAGUUAGAAUAACAUACCUUUUGUUGGUGCUUGUCUUCAUGAAGCUUGAGUGCCUAGUGCCCCAAGUGUGACACCUCAAAUGGUUCACACAACACCAUAAGCACUUGGAAUAACUUAGAGAGAAAUUAGAACACUUCAAGAAUCGGCUUGCCCUCCAUGCAUAUCAUAGUCGCCAAUUUUCCCAAGAAAGAGAUCAUUAUAUAGUGUGUUACAAUUAGGGUAAACCCUAAUUGUCAUGGCUAUCCAUUUCCAUGGAUCCAUGGGUUCAAAUACACCAUGGAGCAUCCAAUGGGUUUUAGCCCAACUUGAUAAUCCAUGGAGCAUUAGCCCACUAUAUAAGUAUGGAUGAUUUACACAAUCAACCCAUAUAUUUAAUUAGUCUUCUUUUGAUCACAUAAUUAAUUCUAAAUUAAUUAUUGAUCAAUACUAAUUAAAUAAUCUUAUUAAUAUAUUAGAACUUAUAAUAUAUUAAUAAACCUUAAGUGUUAUUUCUCUCAUUUUAGUCUAUCCAAGUGCAUGAUGCCAUGCAACCCAAAUGGACCAUGCCGGGUCGGGUCAAGUCUUACCAAUUAUAGUUAUGGACUUAGACAUUAAUCCAACAGUCUCCCACUUGGAUAAGUCUAAAACUAUUAUUGCGUAUGACUUCAGGAACCGACUGGCAAUCGUAGCUCUCAAAAGCUUCUGUCGAACUCUGACCUUGUAGAUGAACUCUGACCUUUGUCAAUGACUUGUCCAUUAGAUAAGGGAUCAUAUAUUCCUCCAUUCUAGAUAUCAUAUGGACUGAGACAUGGAUUAUAAUCAUUCUCUCUGUCCAUUUGUUGUUUCCCGAUUUCUGAUUUAUGACGACUGACUAAUUGAACAAAUCAAAUCAGUCCAGGCCCGGCCGAGCACUUACUUUUGUCAUCACUAAAUCAUCGAGGGGCCCACAGAUAUCGCUUUUAUCCCGAAGGUAAAAGGAAUGGAUAAACUUCGACUCAUAUGCUUGUACUAACUAUUUGUUGAAUCAUACACAAAGGCACGUUUUAUAACAUCGAGUUACCAAUGCGUUUACGUGCAAUCAAUGUAUAACCAACUCAUAGUCAACAACUCAUAUCUCUAGGUUUGAAGAAUAUAAGAUAUUAUCGUCUCAUGAUUCACUCGUGAUAAAAUCCAUGAAGUGAAUCCAAAUGAGCGUGGGUUGAAUCCAAUACUCAGCCCUUAUGAGUACUCAUGAAUGUUGUAGCAACUAUUGCAUUGUCUAAAGCACUUUAGACAAAUCAUACAAGCCAAAUUCACGACAGUCUUGAUUCAUAUCUACUUCCAACAUAUGACCGACUGUGGAUGGUUUGAAUAACUUGGUCAUUCAGGAGAAUGACCUAGUUAUUCUGGAAGUCAAAACAUGCAAAGUGAAACACAAAAUAAUACUAGUCCUAUAUGGCCUCAACACUUUGAGCGUAAAUAAAACACCUUUUAUCUAAGCACCAUAUUGAUCACUCAUUAUUCAUGUUUCGAUUAAUCAACUUAAUACUUGAAUUGAAACAGUAGUGAUGCCAUGCUCCAAGCAUGCAUACUAUGUUUCUCUAAACAAUAGCUAUGCCAUACUCCAAGUAUGCACACUAUGUUUACAUAUGGUCAUCUCUUUGUGAAAUGUAUAUCAAUUGAACAUGACUUCAAUGAUUCUCAUUUCACAAUCCCAAUCCUUAUUGUAAAUGUAAGAAUACCAAGUUCUUGUCAUUUACCGUAAUCUAUGCAAUGAUCCUCUUGUAAUGAUAUUCACACAAGUCACAAAGACUUGGCAACAAACAUUACAAAGUAUUCCAAUGGAAAGCAAUUCCAUGGAGAUGAAGUCUCAAAUUCAAAGUACAUUCCUUUGAACAUCCUUCUUUGCAUUAAGUUCUUUAAUCUUACACAGAUUCAAAGAAUAACUUCCACCUAUGGAAACAAUUCCAUAUUCCCAUCUUGACCAUCACUUUUGAACAAGAGUUGCCUCUUUCCAAAAUAUGUCAAUACGAUCCUUACUCUAUACUUCCAAUUGUCCAUGAGUAACCAAACUUUGGAAAACCCCAAAUUGUUCUCGACAAUUGCUUAAUCAUCUUAGUCAUAUCCAGUUCUAAUCCCUUUUCCCUUCUUAACGCCCUAAGCAUUAGGAAAAUUUAGAAUGGAUGAAUAUUAUAACACAUGCAAUCGAUCCUAUAUCCGAAGCAUAUGGGAUACGAUUCAUGCUAUAAAAUUUUUAUUUGCCAUGUUCUCAUAAUUCGAACUAUGAAGAGGGAUGCCGUAAUCAUAAUCGAAUUUUGAGAAAGCAACAUAUAUAGAAAUUCCUUAUGUUGAACCAUUCCAACAUAACAUUCAUAUAUAUUCUUGACUAAAGUUGAUUAAAAUCUCAAUCUAAGCUUGUAGAAUUGGAAUGAAGUAUAAAUUUCUCUCCCUUAAUUAUAGUAAAACAACUUUUUCAAAGCGAGUUGAAACUUUUGUUUUCUAUAAUUAACAUUGCUAACUUGCAACAUAAUCAUCAUGCUCCCACUAGCAUAAUGAUUAUUAUCUAACUAGCAUAACACUUUAUGCUCCCACUAGCUUUGACAUGUACCUAGAAAUCAGUCAGAUUUCUGAUACUAGAUUGCCUUGAUAAGACUUUAUCAAAUCAUACACCUGGAGUCUAAACCUUUCCUUAGAUAGCUCACAUGUGAGUCUAAACCUUUGCCAUUCUCAUUAGUUAGUGUGCCGGUUAACCACACACGCUCCACUAACGACAUGAGAAUGCAAACUUCACACUUGCUAUCCACUUAAAUCUACUUAGUGAAAGAGUUUCCUCACUAUCAUUUUCAUGAAUCGGAGAGAAACCUUAUGACACUUAGAUUUUGAUGGUGUAUGUGUUCCUAUCCAUGUGAAUUUGACAUAACCAUAAUCACACGACAAGGUUAAUGACAAAUCCAAAUUCAUAUGGACUGAACUUGUGCAGUCUUAAUUUCUUGCCACCUGGUAGCACAAGGGCCUGCCAUUGCUUCCAAGUUGUUAUGCAACCAGUUGAGAACUCUCAGAACUCCAAUGCAAAACCAACUUUAACUGGAAUGGGCACAGAAUAUGUCAACACGAUAGGUUACAAACCUCAAGUCGUGGUCUAGUGAUUAACAAAACUCUUGAUUAGUUCUUGAAUCUAUCUUAAGAUCCUUUUAAGACUCCCACUGACCUCUUGACAUAUAAGAUUCUCUUUGUCAAGAACCAUUCCUUGACAAAAACGAAUAUUCAAGAGUUAGUGCAGAUUCUUAUCAAGUUAAACACUUCUCACAAUUGGUCUUAGUUGGUCUUUGUUUUAUCCAAAACAUCACAACUUACCAAUUUCAAAUGUACAAGAGUAAGAACACAUUUUACUCUACAUUUAACAAGUGUUUUAAACCUUUCUUAAGAUUAUGUCACUCAAGGCUUAAUCUUGGAGUAUGACUCUAAGAUUUAAUUUUGGAACGAAGUAUAAUUUAUCUUUUGAUCUAACCAUUUCAACAAUUCACGAUUCCUCUCCUUAGCCAAACAAAAUGAACUAAGGUGUCCUUAGAGGAUCAAUUGUGACAUGGUUUCAUAAUCACUAAGAUAAUCAUAAAACAAGAUACUCAAGUACUCUCCCAUCUCUUCAGAUUAGAGAAACUUUUAUCUUUCUGCCUUAUUUGAUUCUUCUUACUCAUUAUGUCUAUCAUUGAAACUUCUCCAAUGAUCCAGAACUAUACUUAAACUUGUAAGUAUAACCAUAUUUACUAAACUUUAGUAAAUCAUAAUGAAUAAUCUUAUCAACUUUGUGGUGGACUUGAUCAGCGCACACCCAAGUGUAUCCGAUCCCUUUGUCCUUCACUUGAUUCACAUAUACAUGUGAACAAGGAAUUAGACUUAAUUUCCCAAAUAUAAAAAAAAUUCUCAUGAUCAUACAAUACAAGUUGCAUGAUUCCAAGUUUCUAUCCAACUGAAACUUGGGUGAUGAGAAUCUUUCCUUAUUUGGUAAAUUAUGACACUUCCACUAAUGAAAGAAUCAAAUCCAUUUACCCAUAUUGCUUAUCAAUGGAAACAUAUAAUCAACAAUUUUUCACAAAUGCCAUUGUAAGGAUACUUAAAAUAAAUAAAAUCAAAACCAUUUUUCUUUUAUUUUAAAACUUUGCGGAAAAAUUUAUCCUUACAAUCCAUAUGGAAAACUUGUUGUUAUCUAUUCCUAAGCAAUAUAUCAUAACUCUUAAGUAACAACUCAAAAUUCUGAUCACCGAACCAUGCGAUCGAAAUCCAUCUUCGCGAUCAGAAUCAGCAUAUACUUCCUUUAAGUUUCUUCACUUUUUCUUUGAUUCUUAAAACAUCAACAUGUGACCUCGUCACAUUAUGCAAUAAGAAUCUCAGAAUAGAAACUUAAUAGAGUUAGACAAUGGACUUUACCUGAAGUAGAGUCAAACCUAUUGACUUUACCAUCCUUAAGAUGUUUCAGGUAAAUUUAGCAGCUUCGCAACCAAUGUCUUUCCUUUGGCAACAGAAUCAUAUGGACUCUUUGGAAACGGUACAUGGGACUAUCACAGACUUAACCUUUCUCUUUACCAUUUGGUCAACCGAGUUGACUAUGGCCGAUCCCUUUCCAUUGGGAAGAGAAAGUUUUUCCUGGACCUCCAAUGUCACCAUUUUCAAUGUCCAAAUAGGUUUGGAAAGUAGAUCUUCCAAUCCAAUUUGCUUUACUAAUGCUCCAAAUCACUGCUGAUUUAGCAUCAUCAAGCAAAUAGGUAAGAUCAUUAAGGGUCUUGUCGCGACCUGUCAUCAGGGAGUGACUGAAGAACCAAGUCAGCAGCCAGCUACCUCGAGACUUCGACACCCGACUCUCCCGACUUGUCAAUAUGUGGCUUAAUCCCCAAGAUCUAAGCACAUAUAGACUUUGCUUGCCAAUAGGGAUUGAGUGACUUAGAACUUAUCAAGUCUUAAAACUUGUGGGAUAGGGAGAUUUAUUGGAGGAGGUGGAUGAAGUGAAGUAUGAUUUCUAGUCCCACAAAUGCCCAACAAAGGGAUUGAUCUUUCACCUUGAUUGCCAUUUGGGAUAUCAUCUUCAUUAGGAAGCUUGUUCCUAAAGAUUUGGGAAGACCAUAGCUGUCUAAACUAGACAUCUAUAAUGGGAGAAAUUCAAGUUAGUUGAUUUAAAGUCCUUAAUAUAACACCCAAUAUGAAAUAUUAAGGCUAGGACCCAACAACCUAUUUAUAACUGGAAGAGGGAUGCCGUAAUCCAAAUUAUAAAAUAGUUGAAGGUAGGUAAAUGACGAUUUACCAAUUUCCACCAUGAAAACGAAAUAUUUUAUUAUUAGGUUUUAUUGGUUUUGAAACUCCUAGAUCUUUUGAGAUACAUUGAACUUUUCAAUGGCAUGUUUGAAUCUCGAUUGUGCCCUCUCAAAUUUGUGACUGGGAUGCCGAGGAUCACAAACAAGGUGUGAAUAACCAUACAAAUUGACUUGGUACCCUUAACAAUAUUACCUAAUCGAUGUGCCGGUUAACCACACACGCUCCACCGAUCUAUAAUAAAGUCAAGUUACCCUUUGCCACUCUUACUAGUCCAUGUUAGUGUGCCGGUUAACCACACACGCUCCACUAACGACUUGGUAAGGUACAAAGUGUAAUUUUAUGGGCUAGCACCUUUUCACAUUUUCCUAAGUAACUAAGAUUGGGAAUUUAUAAGUGUUUAGUUACUUAGUAUUUUUCAUUAUACUUUUAAUGAAGGGAGAAUUAUAGUCCAUUCCUACCCGUUCGGCUAACGACCCUCCACCAGUCAAGGAAGCGGUGGGUGAGAGUGGACACCCAUUAAACUGCCAUUUUAUAGGCAGUAACCUUAUACCCCCCUUAUAGACCGGCUUCGUGAAUGAGGCCUACUAACGGUAAGAUUGACUUCCUCUUAUACAUAUCUAUAUAAUUAAAAUUAUAAUAAUAGUAUAAGGGUUGAAUUUUAAACUUUUUAAAAUUUCAAUGUUCAAUUUGGAAUUAAAGUAUACAUGAGGAGUAACUUUUCAAAUUCCAAAACUUGAGGGCAAGUUUUGAAACUAUUUCAAGACUCUUUAAAUCAUAACUUAUGAGUUUAAUGGUUCAUUAAAAUGAAGACUCUUCAUUUUAAUGUAACCCCUUAUUCUUUAAAAACACUUUAAAGAAGUGUCUCUUCAACAUCCAUAACUUGAGGACAAGUUAUGGAGUCAUUAAACUAUUUAAUGGAAAAAACUCUUACAUUUUAUGUAACCUACAAAACUUUUAUGAGUUUUUAAGAUUCAUAAAUAUGACUUUUCACAUAACUUGAAGACAAGUUACAAAAACAUAUUUUAUGAACUUCUUUUAGACUAAUAUGGAUUGAAAACAACUAAAACAUAAUUUUUUCAUUAUCAAUCUAAACUAACUCAUAAAUCAAGGAAACAUAAAAUUCUUGAAAAUUCAUAACUUGAGGACAAGUUAUGAACUCCAUACAAUUUUCAACAAGAUCAUGAAUUAUAUCAACAAACAAUUUGCACACAAUUCCUAUGAUCUAGCAAAACUCAUAAGCAUGAUCAUUCAUAAUCAACAAUUUUCAAGAAUAACAUGAACACAUAUAAACUUGAAACUUUUAUUAUAGCAUUGAAAUUGGUUUAACAUAAUCAUUACCACAUUCAAAACAAGUUUUAUAAGCCCAAAACAGUCAAAGGUAAUGAUUCUAGACCAAUUCCAGCACCAAAACUCGAAAAUAUGCUGUCUGGGGGUCCAACUCGUCGAGUGCAUGAACAAACUCGGCGAGUUGGAUGCAUUUUGCCUUGGACUCGUCGAGUCCCUUCAUGGACUCGGCGAGUCUGCUGGGCAGACAGCACCAAAAGUCGAUUUUUAAGCAGUUUAAGCAAGUACAACAAGAAAACAAGCCUAGGCUCUGAUACCACUGUUGGGUUUUGAGCAAUCUAACACUCCUAAGUGUACAUGCAACCCUAAAUACCUUGGAUCUAUGUUUUCUCUAUUAUACAUGCAAAUAUCAACUUUCCAAGGUAUUGUUCUAUUCUAGCAUACAAAACUUUGAAUAACACAAGUUAGAAUAACAUACCUUUUGUUGGUGCUUGUCUUCAUGAAGCUUGAGUGCCUAGUGCCCCAAGUGUGACACCUCAAAUGGUUCACACAACACCAUAAGCACUUGGAAUAACUUAGAGAGAAAUUAGAACACUUC